This 336-nucleotide long non-coding RNA is filed under the name Bos taurus (domestic cattle). RNAcentral describes it as "long non-coding RNA NONBTAT025373". The record is from RNAcentral. Lineage: Eukaryota; Metazoa; Chordata; Mammalia; Artiodactyla; Bovidae.
AUUUCAGGCAAGAAAUGAUUCACAUUCUGUACUAGUUCAAUAAUAGAUUUUUCUAAGAAAUAUCCCACAAGUCAUUGUACAUUUAACUUUAAAGAAAAUUAACCAAAGAAAAACUUUCAAGGUUUUUCAAAACUUAUCCUAAAAUUUACUUGAUCAGAUUAAGCAAAAUUAGGUCAAAAGAAUAUUUUAGCUAUGACUAGAAGGUCUGGCUCACUUUAUAAUCUUCUUUUCAUAAGGACUAAAAUCUAUUUAACAAUUUAAGCACUUUUAAUACUUUGUAGUGGUGAACAAACUUUUACAAGUGAGUAGAAUCCCAUUAUAAUGAACAUCACCCUG